RNAcentral lists this ribosomal RNA (592 nucleotides) under Trichothecium sp. HNLY2. RNAcentral's name for it is "eukaryotic LSU rRNA". It matches the Rfam family "Eukaryotic large subunit ribosomal RNA", at positions 52 to 669 of the family's 3401-position model. The record is from RNAcentral. Lineage: Eukaryota; Fungi; Ascomycota; Sordariomycetes; Hypocreales.
GGAGGAAAAGAAACCAACAGGGAUUGCCCUAGUAACGGCGAGUGAAGCGGCAACAGCUCAAAUUUGAAAGCUGGCUCUCGGGCCCGCAUUGUAAUUUGCAGAGGAUGCUUCUGGCGACGCGCCUUCCGAGUUCCCUGGAACGGGACGCCAUAGAGGGUGAGAGCCCCGUCCGGCCGUGCGCCUAGCCUCUGUGAAGCUCCUUCGACGAGUCGAGUAGUUUGGGAAUGCUGCUCAAAAUGGGAGGUAUACGUCUUCUAAAGCUAAAUACCGGCCAGAGACCGAUAGCGCACAAGUAGAGUGAUCGAAAGAUGAAAAGCACUUUGAAAAGAGAGUUAAAAAGUACGUGAAAUUGUUGAAAGGGAAGCGCUCAUGACCAGACUUGGGCUGGCCCGAUCAUCCGGCGUUCUCGCCGGUGCACUCGGGCCGCCCAGGCCAGCAUCAGCUUUCGCCGGGGGAUAAAGGCGGCGGGAAUGUGGCUCCCUCGGGAGUGUUAUAGCCCGCCGUGCAAUACCCUGGUGGGGGCUGAGGUUCGCGCGUAUGCACGGAUGCUGGCGUAAUGGUUAUCAGCGACCCGUCUUGAAACACGGACCAA